RNAcentral lists this transfer RNA (72 nucleotides) under Camelus bactrianus (Bactrian camel). It matches the Rfam family "tRNA". Rfam says of the family: Transfer RNA (tRNA) molecules are approximately 80 nucleotides in length. Their secondary structure includes four short double-helical elements and three loops (D, anti-codon, and T loops). The record is from Rfam by way of RNAcentral. Lineage: Eukaryota; Metazoa; Chordata; Mammalia; Artiodactyla; Camelidae. RNAcentral also lists the same sequence under 2 other names.
GAGGGCGUAGCCCAGUGGUGGAGCACGUGCUUAGCAUGCACGAGGUCCUGGGUUCAAUCCCCAGUCCUUCCA